Long non-coding RNA from Sander lucioperca (pikeperch), 3225 nucleotides. RefSeq lists it as uncharacterized. The record is from RefSeq and is a predicted model, not a curated record. The transcript has 2 exons. Lineage: Eukaryota; Metazoa; Chordata; Actinopteri; Perciformes; Percidae.
GAAAUUCCUCCAAGGAACCUCUGCGAGCUUUUUUUUUUUUUUUUUUUUUUUAUCACGCGCGAGCUAAAAAUAGAAACGGGGUUGGAUCGUGAUCCAGAAAUAGAUAGGGGGCAUCACUCCUAUGAAAGGCACACCAUUCAAGAGUACAGUGUGUGCACAGUUUGAAGAAGCGAAAAGCCAGAGCAUGUUUAACGGAGGAACGGGGCUUUUUGUCCCGGUUUAGUGGCACUUUUUCCUGUUUUUAAAGGAGCCUCAGCUGCUACAACGGCCGUCUACACAUCACACACGCUACGCCGGGAGACGGGAGCACUGACCAAAACUAAAGUGGGGGCCGCAGGAUGAAUCCACCGAGUGAGUGGGGAAAACUGUAAAAGAGAAGUUAACAAUAGUUUUUCAUCGUUUUCAGCAACAACUUCUGUUAAAAUGCUCAGGCAGCAUGGAUGGACAUUUAUCUGUGUCACCCUAAGAUUGUAUUAUAUUUAAAAUUGUCUUGUUCUUUAUCCUCUUCUUCUUCUUCUUCUUCUUCUUCUUCUUCUUCUUUUUGAUCACCACAUAUUACAAGAAUGGAAAUUCAUUUUGUCUACACAUCCUUUACUUUAAAAAAACAAACAAAAAGAGUAGGCUAUUAGACUUGCUUUAGCAGUAUUAUCUGCAAUAAACAAAGGGCGUCUACUUAUUAUUGCCAGCUCAGUCUGACUCACCGGAUGUAGACUGUUAGGAUAAAGACUGCCAUUGGCUGCAUAUUUCUGCAGGCAUUCUCCUCCCCGCUAUCUCCGGUAUCUAUUUUGCAAGGGCACUGUCGCUGCAUCUGGAGCUUAGCGCCGCCCAAGGCGAUUGCGAUUGGUUUAAAGAAAUUCAAACAAGCCGGAAUGUUUUUUUCCCCUAUCCCAGAAUGUCAACUCGUGCAUCCAGACGUUUCUCCAGCGCUGACACAGCACUGUGCAAGUUAGGAAUGAGCCUGAAUCACAAUAGUUACCAGCCAUAUAAGGAAAUGCAUUUGGUCCGAUUAAGGCUCAGUACUACUGUAAAUGGCAAAUGGACUGCAUUUAUAGACAAAGCGCUUUACAAUCUGCCUCUCAUUCACCCAUUUACACACACUAAAACAAGGAGAAAGUGUUACACACACAUUGUGUUGAAAAUCAAUCAUUCAUAAUACUUCAAUGUGCGAACACUGGCAGCACGCUUAGUGACUUUGACUGCCAUGUGAAAAUCAGUUGUUCAACCAAAAUCUCCACGCAGUUGUAAAGUAUUCAGUUAAAAUAGUUCACUAGACCUGAACAUUCUUCAGAAAACCCUAAGGUGAUAAAUUAUUUCUUCCUUGUGAAUGUUUAAGCUUUUCCUUUGGUUUUACAAAUGUGCUUUCUUUUGUAAUCUGACAUCAAUAACUGAUCCCUUAAAAUUUGCAAUGUGAAAUAUUUUAAUGAGAGUCACUUCAUACAGGAGAUCUGGCUUAGGGGCUCCAACCCUAGGGUCCUGUGGUCUCAGGUCUCACGCCCAUGAGCGAUAAGCCAACCCCCCCCUCAGCUCCAGUAGAGAAGUCUAGCUGCUCACAAAACAGGGAGCUCCUGCUUCGGUACAGUGCAAAUGUGUUAAAGCCUCCCUCGUCCUGUGAUUUCCCCUCCAGGACAGCUUUUUUUUAAUCAGCUCACCUGCUUGACGGAGAAGUACUAACAGUUACACAAAACUGACAUAAAUACACACACUGGUCAGGACAGAACUACAGUGUUUCUGUAGUUCUCUGUUUUGUGAGGUGUGGGGUUGGUGACAAUAACUUGAUUAAAAUACAGAAAUAGUGGAAAGAUAAUGUGAUGGCUACAGUGAAAGACAACCACAUUUAAAAAGUCUUUAAAACAUAUUUGACCAAUAUAAUUCCUACUUUAGAGAAAUAUUAGGAAUACUAAAAUGAUAUAUAAAUGUAAAGAGUUCAGAUCCAGGGACUAAAGAAGUUGUGUGUGUGUUUGUGUGUUUUUCUUUUUCACAUUUUAUGUGUCAUUAUUAUAUACUGUAUAUUAUGGGACAUCCUGUAUUUGUCCUUGUCGUGUAAAUCAUGUCCUGUACGUAAUGUGAUGGAAGUGUUUGGGACGGGACAUUGAACAAGAAAGAAACCUUUCUAAAUGUAUUACAGUAGGAUGUGCCAUCUCUUAGUUUUUCUUUGACUUUGUCCUUUAUUUAUUUUUUCUGCUGUGACAACAUAUCACUGUAAUGUAUCACAUCUAUGACUAUGAGCGCAUUCUUUAUUUAAAAGGCAAGAUGCACGGAGAAAGAUGUGUAUAGGGAAUUAAUGCCCAUUCAUGUUAUAGUGUUACUUUUGCAGAUGUGUGUCUGUGUGUGUAUAUACUGUAUAUAUAUAUAUAUAUAUAUGUGUGUGUGUGUGUGUGUGCGUGUGUGUGUGUGAGGGAAGGAGCAAUAGAAAGAGAGAAUGUUUUAAAAAUUAUUUGUAAAAUACAGCAGUAUAGUUAUCAGAUGUACACCGAGCAGCCAUUUAAUCAGUCAGACAUAAAAAGCUGCGACCAUUUCUCCUCACGGUCUAUGGGUCAAGGAAAUGUUCAACUAUCUUGAACUGGAAAACAACCAGGUACACAUAACUGGUUAGGCUCCAAAAGCAAACUGAUCAGCAUUUAAAACUCUUUUAAAUAUGCCAUUUAGCUCAACUCUCCAUUUUCCCUUGAAUAAUUGAUUUGUGGUCAUUCUCUCAAUUUAACAACAGAUGACAAAGAGAGACACGACAGAGAGAAAGUUGCACAUGCAUGGAGUCAAUGGGCAUCCUUGUUAUGAUCUUCAGAUUGUGUGUGUGUGUGUGUGUGUGUGUGUGUGUGUGUGUGUGUGUGUGUGUGUGUGUGUGUGUGUAUGUGUGUGCGUGUGUGUGUGUGUGUGUGUCUGUCUGUGUGUUACCUUUUACCUUACACUUUAUUCCCUCUCUUCAUGUGUGCUUUUUUUUGUCUCCCUAUUUGUUAUAAUUAAUUUAACAUAAUUUUAUAUUUGAUCUCAUUUUGUCUUAUUUUGUCAUAUCUUUUCUCUUUUCUUGUUCAAAUAUGUCAUAAUGUCUAUGGACUAAUUGAAAAUGUGCAUACAUAGAUUUAAAAAAAGAAAGCCUAACCUUAAGAAAGACUGAAUGGGUUUACUGGUAUAUUCACCUUUGUAGAUUAUGCAUGUUUCAAUAUUAAUGAUGCUGUUAACCAUUUUCAUGCAGCAGCUUUUUUAUUAAUAAAAACAGUGUGAAAUCUU